Ictalurus punctatus (channel catfish) is the source of this 445-nucleotide long non-coding RNA. NCBI's taxonomy places the organism in Eukaryota, Metazoa, Chordata, Actinopteri, Siluriformes, Ictaluridae. The record is from Ensembl.
CUCGAGGAAGGGGAGGGGAGGCUCCCCUUCCUGCUUUGCAUCUCUCAGACCUUUAUGUCCAAGAUCUACACUGCCUAUGUGUGGACUAUGUUGAGGACAAGAUUGAACCGAAUGGAGAGUAUAUCCUAUUCCAAAGUCCCUGGCCAUUCUCAUAUAGAUCACCUACUCUGGUCCCUGAUAUAUAAUGACUGCUUCUGGCUAUCUCAUAGCGGACAAUCAAAACAAGUAAAGCAUAUGAUAUUAGAAAACUCAUAUAUAACCUGUUUUGCUUCUUGAAUAAACAUGACAAUCUGUAUAAAACUGAACAAUGUGUAUUUUCUAAACUGCAAAGGGCAUAUGCUAAGUAUUUAUUGUGCAGGCUGUGCAGAAUGCUGGAUAAUGAAAAUGUGCCUUACUGUGUGAACUGUUUACAGUAAAACCGUAGUUUGCUAUUAAUGACAUUCAA